UACGGAGUGCUAGGAAGGGGGCCCCUAACCCUGACUUGGGUUGACGAGGGUUCCUGGUAGAACUGAUGUGUUAGCAGCACUGGUGGGAGUUAAUCAGGGAAGAGAGCCCUGGCGUUGCAUCAUUUCCCACUCCUGAGAUAACAGUUAGAUCAGUGUUUCCCACAGAGGGGUUGACUUGAUAAGAACACAGGUUUGCCCAGCCUUUCUGAGGAAUCCGUUUGGGGUAGUAAGGCUUCAGAGCUUUGUUCUCCUCCUGGGCAAAGCGAGUGCUUCCUGUUGCACGGUAUAACAACUGGGAUUUGCGUUUCACAAAGAAAGAAAGAGAAAGAGAAAGAGGGAGAGAGAACAGGAGUCUUGCUCUAUUGCCCAGGCUGGAAUGCAAUCUAAAAAU
This 391-nucleotide long non-coding RNA is filed under the name Callithrix jacchus (white-tufted-ear marmoset). RNAcentral describes it as "lncRNA (ENSCJAG00000085550.1)". The record is from RNAcentral. Lineage: Eukaryota; Metazoa; Chordata; Mammalia; Primates; Cebidae.